This is a long non-coding RNA of Helianthus annuus (common sunflower), 3232 nucleotides long. RefSeq lists it as uncharacterized. Lineage: Eukaryota; Viridiplantae; Streptophyta; Magnoliopsida; Asterales; Asteraceae. The transcript is spliced from 8 exons. The record is from RefSeq and is a predicted model, not a curated record.
ACAGCCAUAGAGGUUGUCGAACAAUGUUUUUCUUGUGUCAUUAUUACAUUAUAAAGCUUAAUAUUAAAACACUUUAAAAUUCAAAACUCUAGCCUACAUUCAAAUUUCAAAGAUCUGUCCACUUUAAAAUUCAAAACUCUAGCCUACAUUCAAAUUUCAAAGAUCUGCCCACAUACAUAAAGGCAAAGGUCUGCCCACAUACAAAAGGGUAAAGAUCUGUCAUUAGCCUUUUUCUUCAAACAAUCUGCCUAUCAUCCAAAAUUCAAACAUCUUGCGAGAUUUAAAAUUCUGACUCGAGAUUCAACAUUCAAAUCAUAUACGUAUAAAUAGUUCUUCUAAUACUGUCUCUCUCUCAAAUCCAAUGCAGACCUCUCUCCCAAAAUCUUCAUGGCUCUCCAAUCCAGACUAUAUAGUCAUUUAAAAUUCAAACUAUUUUGUUCUUCGGUGAUCGGUUGGAUCCAAAUCAAUAAGAAUCAAUUAUAUAAUGAAGUUCCAUCCAAAAAAUCACUCCCAACGCGAAUAUCUCUACCAGGAACGAGCGUCGAAACAGUGUUCGACGACGGCGUAAGGCUCAACUCGAUUCAUCGACGACUGCGUUGUUCUUCAAGGACUCACGUGGAUGAUUCAGGACACGUGUAUGAUCACAAUAUUGAUGUGGGUUUUGAUGUCGACACACGCCACCUUCAUGUUCUUAAAGAUAGUGAGUUGAUUCCUCCAAGAUGGGAUGUUUAUGACAAAGGAAAGAUUUAUGAUAUUAGACACAGGAUUACUGCAGCAACACCCACUGGGAUCUCUCAAACUGGGAUUGGGGAAUAUUACCUCAGACUCCAUGAUAGCAUGAGGAUAUUCAUGAGUAUAUGUACUCGCCUCAGGCGAAUCACCGCAAUGUAUAGCGAGAAUUGUUGUGAGGUUUGAGUUGCAUUGUUUGUGAUUGGAUGUUUUUUGUUUGUAGGGAGGGUUGAUUGGCUUGGCUGCGGCUACUGUUGGAUUGAGUAUAUGUACUCGCCUUAGGCGAAUCACCGCAAGGGGAAAGUGCCGAAUAGAAGAAUAUUGGAAAACGACUCAGAAUGUACAUCUGAUUAUGUCGAUAACCUGCUUCCCGGCUAUCGGUUUUGCCCAACGGACUCAGAACUCAUACUCUACUACUUAAAACCAAAGAUUAAAACCGGAGAACAACCCAAAUGCCGGAUAUAUGAAGUCAAUCUUUGCAACCACAGUCCUAAAGAACUUACAAAUCAAGAUCGACCGUGUGAUGACAAGUGGUAUUUUUUUUACACCAAGAGAGCGAAAAUACCAAAAGGGGAAAGUGCCGAAUAGAAGAACCGGGGACUUUGGGUAUUGGGAAAACGACUCAGAAAUAUACAUCUGUGCAUAUAUGCAAUUCUCAUGCAGAUUAUUAUUAAAAACUUAAAAUCCUCUCCUUCUUUAAUUCAACAUCCUGGUAAUAUAGCUGUUGAUGAUGUGAAUGGCGGAAGGCUAAUAUUUUAUGAUUUUGGAAUGAUGGGGAGGUAAUGAGUGACUAACCGUUUUUAGAAAACGUCACAUGGGAUUUUCUUGACGUACAGACCUUUGAGUUUUUGCAGCAUAAGCUCAAACAUCCGCGAAGGUUUGUUGGAAGUAUUUUACGGAGUUAAAGAGAAAGAUCCAACCGGAGGCAUGACAGCUGUCAGAAGAACUGCACAAUUCUUCCUUAAUAGGGUGGAUUUAUUUUCUAUUUCAGCAGAUCAACCAUUCCAUUUUCCUACCACUUUCACCUUUGUUGUUAGAGCUUUUUCAGUGUUAGAUGGCAUUGGAAAGGGUCUCGACCCCUGUUUUGAUAUCACAGAAAUUGCUAAGUCAUGAGUGUUCAUUUUGCCCUAUUUACUGAUUGAAACCUUAAAAGUAACAAGAUAAUUUGUUUAUUUGCUAAGGUUUUGUGAAGCUGGUAUUGAAGUUGUAUAUUUUUUUGACAUAGCUUUUCUAAUUGUAUAUUUUUUUUGGCAGGCGGUAGCUGCGGUAAGCCUGGUCAACCUGGCAACUAUUUUAUACCUAAUUUCAAUGAGAGGAAGCACCAAAUUUAAUUUACUAAUAAAUUUAUUUGGCAAUUGAAAUAUUGGACCUUUGAUGCUAAAUUUCAUUAUGCUUCAUGUCUUCUUUCAGGGUCCUGCUAUGAUAGCGUAUUCCUUUUGUGAAUUUUUUGGGUUGCAAUUUCUGUUUGGCCUGUUGAAGGUUAAGAAACUCGAUCAAUAGGAGAAAUUGAUUACUGGAAUAGCUUAAACAAAAUGUAAGUAUAUCGUAAUGGUGGUUUCUGAUUACACCUAGAAGAUGUUUUUUCUUGAUUGUGAGGUUGGUCAACUCUACGUUGGCACCAAGAAUCUUAUAACAAGACGAGAAAUGAUGUCAUGUGUACCAAAUGAGUUAAUAACUAUGGUGCAUGAUUCAAGAGGCGGGUCCCAGCAAGAUGCUAUGUUGUUAUGGUUGGAAGAACAUGUUCGCCGCCUUCAAAACGGGAUUAUAAAGUUACGUGAGGAAGGAAAUCUUCGAAGCAUCAGUUUGUUCCCCGAAGAACCUCCGCUGUGUUCUAUGGCUACAAAUGCGGUGUUCAGGUACGUGCGUCUGCUGUAUUUGUACCUGAAUUCAGUGACCUUAUGCAAGAAGCUAAGAAAUAUAUGUUUGCAUACUCGAUCUGUAUGUCGCUUAAACCCGAGGAAUGUUUUGUCCACAGUAUGACCUUUGAAUCGUGCCAGCUGUACUGGAGGCAUUGGAUUAUCAAAUCCAAUGAUAAUGUUGUGGAUGACGUCAAUGGUGAAGUGGUGAUAGGCUAGUUUCCAUUGUUACGUCCAGGGAAGAAAGAGUUCAUUUACAAAAGUUGCACACCUUGUCAUGCUGCACCUGGAUCGAUCGAGUGGUUGUCCCUGGAGCCACAAUAAAAAUAGUCACAUGGGAAAUCGAAGGUAGAAAAAAGACGAGUUCUUCCCGUGUUUUCCAGCUUCAAUCCCGCAAAUGAUCUUAAUAGUUGCUUACCGGAGACGCAAUCCCCGAUAUGCUAGCUGGCCACGAAGAUCCCUGUACCGGUCAUCCCUAUCAAGAUUUGGAAAAAAAUUGAAAUGAAAGAGAGUUCCUAUUGUUGUGAAAUAUUUUUAGGAGUAAAUUACAAGUUUUGUCCUUUAUGUAUGUCCAAAAUUGCAGGCGCUGUCCUUUGUCUUUAAAAUUGAUGAGUUUUGUCCUUAAUGUAUGCAAAUCUUGCACGUUA